Stegodyphus dumicola is the source of this 73-nucleotide non-coding RNA. Lineage: Eukaryota; Metazoa; Arthropoda; Arachnida; Araneae; Eresidae. The record is from the annotation of a RefSeq genome assembly.
GCCUUCGUAGUGUAGUGGUCAGCACGCUCGACGUGUAUUCGAGAGGCCUUUGGUUCGAAUCCCUGCGAAGGCC